Molecule: non-coding RNA, 85 nt
Organism: Termitomyces sp. T159_Od127
Lineage: Eukaryota; Fungi; Basidiomycota; Agaricomycetes; Agaricales; Lyophyllaceae
Source: the annotation of a GenBank genome assembly
GGGGGCAUAGCUCAGUUGGGAGAGCAGCAGACUGAAGUGAAUUAGCACAUUCUGAAGGUCCCGCGUUCAAUCCGCGGUGCCCCCA